This 322-nucleotide long non-coding RNA is filed under the name Pan paniscus (pygmy chimpanzee). RNAcentral's name for it is "lncRNA (ENSPPAG00000045440.1)". The record is from RNAcentral. Lineage: Eukaryota; Metazoa; Chordata; Mammalia; Primates; Hominidae.
AUGAUGAAGGACUUUCAGUCAAAGGUAAAGAUCAAGAAAUUGCUUAUGUGUUCAUCUUCAGAAAAGAGUGAGUAACUAGUGGCCUUUAGAUGAGCCAACCGCAAGCCUGGACUCAUCUUUGACAUCUCCUGCUUCCCUCCAUAAUGACCGUCGUUGCUCCUCUUGCCCAAGCCUUUGCAUGGAUGAUUGUCUGUCCUCUGUUGGGCCCCUUCUGAAGAGUUGGAGUUGGGUAAGUGUCACUCAUGAGAGCAGGAACACAGUCAGGCAAACCACAGAAUGCUUCCUGGUUUUAAAAAGGGUUUUCUCCAAAGCUAGAAUAAGA